Molecule: ribosomal RNA, 468 nt
Filed under: uncultured bacterium
Lineage: Bacteria
Description: partial 16S ribosomal RNA
Rfam family: Bacterial small subunit ribosomal RNA
Source: RNAcentral
GACGAACGCUGGCGGCGUGCUUAACACAUGCAAGUCGAACGGAAAGGCCCUGCUCUUGUGGGGCUCUUGAUUGCCGAGCGCGUGAGUAACACGCGUGUAACCCGCCCCUGUCUUUGGGAUAUCUUCAGGAAACUCGGGAUCAUACCGGAUAUAAGCUCCUGCUGCAUGGUGUGGGUUGGAAAGUUUCGGCGGUUGGGGAUGGACUCGCGGGGUACCAGCUUGUUGGUGGGGUAGUGGCUUGCCAAGGCUUCGACGGGUACCCGGCCUGAGCGGGUGACCGGCGACAUUGGGACUGAGAUGAGGCACAGACUCCUACGGGAGGCAGCAGUGGGAAAUAUUGAACGAUGGGCGGAAGCCUGAUGAAGAAACGCCGCGUGCGGGAUGACGGCCUUCGGGGUGUAGACCGCUUUCGCCUGUGACGAAGCGUGAGUGAAGGUAAUGGGUAAAGAAGGACAGGCUAAAUAAGGG